AGGGCUUGACAUAUACUGGACCGCCUGUGAAAGCAGGUUUUCCCUUUGGGACCGGUAUACAGGUGCUGCAUGGCUGUUGUCAGCUCGUGCCGUGAGGUGUUCGGUUAAGUCCGGCAACGAGCGCAACCCGCGUCGUCAGUUGCUACCAGGUAAUGCUGGGCACUCUGGCGAGACUGCCCGUGUCAAGCGGGAGGAAGGCGCGGAUGAGGUCAAGUCCGUAUGGCCCUUACGCCCUGGGCUGCACACGUGCUACAAUGGGCGGUACAAUGGGACGCAACGUCGCGAGGCUGAGCAAAUCCCCAAAACCGUCCUCAGUUCGGAUUGGAGUCUGCAACUCGACUCCAUGAAGC
RNAcentral lists this ribosomal RNA (350 nucleotides) under uncultured bacterium. RNAcentral's name for it is "bacterial SSU rRNA". It matches the Rfam family "Bacterial small subunit ribosomal RNA", at positions 976 to 1326 of the family's 1533-position model. The record is from RNAcentral.